This 328-nucleotide ribosomal RNA is filed under the name uncultured eukaryote. RNAcentral's name for it is "partial 18S ribosomal RNA". It matches the Rfam family "Eukaryotic small subunit ribosomal RNA", at positions 1470 to 1796 of the family's 1831-position model. The record is from RNAcentral.
CCCUUAGAUGUCCUGGGCUGCACGCGCGCUACACUGAUGUGUCCAGUAAGCACCUAACCUCUUCCGAAAGGAACGGGUAACCUUUGCAAAGCACAUCGUGAUGGGGAUAGAUUAUUGCAAUUAUUAGUCUUGAACGAGGAAUUCCUAGUAAGCACAAGUCAUCAGCUUGUGUUGAUUACGUCCCUGCCCUUUGUACACACCGCCCGUCGCUCCUACCGAUUGAAUGGUCCGGUGAAGCCUCGGGAUUGUGGUUCUUGCCGCUUUAUUGUGGCGUGACCGCGAGAACUUGUCUAAACCUUAUCAUCUAGAGGAAGGUGAAGUCGUAACA